Molecule: ribosomal RNA, 1436 nt
Filed under: uncultured organism
Description: partial small subunit ribosomal RNA
Rfam family: Bacterial small subunit ribosomal RNA
Source: RNAcentral
GCGGCGUGCUUAACACAUGCAAGUCGAACGGAAAGGCCCUGCUUUUGUGGGGUGCUCGAGUGGCGAACGGGUGAGUAACACGUGAGUAACCUGCCCUUGACUUUGGGAUAACUUCAGGAAACUGGGGCUAAUACCGGAUAGGAGCUCCUGCUGCAUGGUGGGGGUUGGAAAGUUUCGGCGGUUGGGGAUGGACUCGCGGCUUAUCAGCUUGUUGGUGGGGUAGUGGCUUACCAAGGCUUUGACGGGUAGCCGGCCUGAGAGGGUGACCGGCCACAUUGGGACUGAGAUACGGCCCAGACUCCUACGGGAGGCAGCAGUGGGGAAUAUUGCACAAUGGGCGGAAGCCUGAUGCAGCAACGCCGCGUGCGGGAUGACGGCCUUCGGGUUGUAAACCGCUUUCGCCUGUGACGAAGCGUGAGUGACGGUAAUGGGUAAAGAAGCACCGGCUAACUACGUGCCAGCAGCCGCGGUGAUACGUAGGGUGCGAGCGUUGUCCGGAUUUAUUGGGCGUAAAGGGCUCGUAGGUGGUUGAUCGCGUCGGAAGUGUAAUCUUGGGGCUUAACCCUGAGCGUGCUUUCGAUACGGGUUGACUUGAGGAAGGUAGGGGAGAAUGGAAUUCCUGGUGGAGCGGUGGAAUGCGCAGAUAUCAGGAGGAACACCAGUGGCGAAGGCGGUUCUCUGGGCCUUUCCUGACGCUGAGGAGCGAAAGCGUGGGGAGCGAACAGGCUUAGAUACCCUGGUAGUCCACGCUGUAAACGGUGGGUACUAGGUGUGGGGUCCAUUCCACGGGUUCCGUGCCGUAGCUAACGCUUUAAGUACCCCGCCUGGGGAGUACGGCCGCAAGGCUAAAACUCAAAGGAAUUGACGGGGCCCCGCACAAGCGGCGGAGCAUGCGGAUUAAUUCGAUGCAACGCGUAGAACCUUACCUGGGUUUGACAUGGAUCGGGAGUGCUCAGAGAUGGGUGUGCCUCUUUUGGGGUCGGUUCACAGGUGGUGCAUGCCUGUCGUCAGCUCGUGUCGUGAGAUGUUGGGUUAAGUCCCGCAACGAGCGCAACCCUUGUUCACUGUUGCCAGCACGUUAUGGUGGGGACUCAGUGGAGACCGCCGGGGUCAACUCGGAGGAAGGUGGGGAUGACGUCAAGUCCUCAUGCCCCUUAUGUCCAGGGCUUCACGCAUGCUACAAUGGCUGGUACAGAGAGUGGCGAGCCUGUGAGGGUGAGCGAAUCUCGGAAAGCCGGUCUCAGUUCGGAUUGGGGUCUGCAACUCGACCUCAUGAAGUCGGAGUCGCUAGUAAUCGCAGAUCAGCAACGCUGCGGUGAAUACGUUCCCGGGGCUUGUACACACCGCCCGUCAAGUCAUGAAAGUUGGUAACACCCGAAGCCGGUGGCCUAACCGUUGUGGGGGAGCCGUCGAAGGUGGGACUGGUGAUUAGGACU